GAGAGCCCAAGAUUGAAAGCUGGCGUCUUCGGCGUCCGCAUUGUAAUCUCAAGAAGUGUUUUCCGCUUCGGACCAAGCCUAAGUCCCCUGGAAAGGGGCAUCAUAGAGGGUGAUAAUCCCGUACAUGGCUUGGAGCGCCCGAGGCUUUGUGAUACGCUUUCUAAGAGUCGAGUUGUUUGGGAAUGCAGCUCAAAAUGGGUGGUAAAUGCCAUCUAAGGCUAAAUAUUGGGGAGAGACCGAUAGCGAACAAGUACAGUGAUGGAAAGAUGAAAAGAACUUUGAAAAGAGAGUUAAACAGUACGUGAAAUUGCCAAAAGGGAAGGGUAGGAGGUCAGAGAUGCGGCCUGGGAUUCAGCCUUGCUUUUGCUUGGUGUUUUUCCCAGAUUGCAGGCCAACGUCGGUUUUGGGCACUGGAGAAGGGUAGGAGGAACGUGGCACCCCUCGGGGUGUGUUAUAGCCUCCUACUGGAUACAGCGACCGAGACCGAGGACAGCAACGUACUCGCAAGAGCGGGCCUUCGGGCACCUUUACGCUUAGGGCGUUGGCAUAAUGGCCCUCUACCACCCGUCUUGA
RNAcentral lists this ribosomal RNA (573 nucleotides) under uncultured Pseudozyma. RNAcentral's name for it is "LSU rRNA". It matches the Rfam family "Eukaryotic large subunit ribosomal RNA", at positions 103 to 657 of the family's 3401-position model. Lineage: Eukaryota; Fungi; Basidiomycota; Ustilaginomycetes; Ustilaginales; Ustilaginaceae. The record is from RNAcentral.